UGCUGUAGCUCAGUCGGUAGAGCGCAUCCUUGGUAAGGAUGAGGUCGGCGGUUCGAAUCCGCCCAGC
Molecule: transfer RNA, 67 nt
Filed under: Vescimonas coprocola
Lineage: Bacteria; Bacillati; Bacillota; Clostridia; Eubacteriales; Oscillospiraceae
Also listed under: 7 other names
Rfam family: tRNA
About the family: Transfer RNA (tRNA) molecules are approximately 80 nucleotides in length.
Source: RNAcentral